Molecule: ribosomal RNA, 639 nt
Filed under: uncultured actinomycete
Lineage: Bacteria; Bacillati; Actinomycetota; Actinomycetes; Actinomycetales
Description: bacterial SSU rRNA
Rfam family: Bacterial small subunit ribosomal RNA
Source: RNAcentral
CACGGCCUAUCAGCUUGUUGGUGAGGUAACGGCUCACCAAGGCGACGACGGGUAGCGGGUCUGAGAGGAUGAUCCGUCACAUUGGGACUGAGACACGGCCCAGACUCCUACGGGAGGCAGCAGUGGGGAAUAUUGGGCAAUGACCGAAAGGUUGACCCAGCGACGCCGCGUGCGGGAGGAAGCCCUUCGGGUUGUAAACCGCUUUCAGUAGGGAAGAAAAUGACGGUACCUACAGAAGAAGGUGCGGCCAACUACGUGCCAGCAGCCGCGGUGACACGUAGGCACCGAGCGUUAUCCGGAUUUAUUGGGCGUAAAGAGCUCGUAGGCGGUUCGGUAAGUCGGGUGUGAAAGCUCUGGGCUCAACCCAGAGAGGCCACCCGAUACUGCUGUGACUUGAGUGCGGUAGGGGAGCGGGGAAUUCCUGGUGUAGCGGUGAAAUGCGCAGAUAUCAGGAGGAACACCAGUGGCGAAGGCGCCGCUCUGGGCCGUAACUGACGCCGAGGAGCGAAAGCAUGGGGAGCGAACAGGAUUAGAUACCCUGGUAGUCCAUGCCGUAAACGUUGGGAACUAGAUGUGGGGACCAUUCCACGGUCUCCGUGUCGCAGCUAACGCAUUAAGUUCCCCGCCUGGGGAGUACGG